CAUUUACGUAAAUGGAUCUGCUCUGAAGAACUGUUUUUCUUUUGUAUCAACAAAGAGUUGGAAGUAGAGAACGGAGAUUUGAGGUCAUCUGUCAGUGAUAAUUCUUCAGUUGCUACUGAAAAUCGAGAUGGAUGCAAAUACAACUCAAAGUGAAGCUGCAACUGAAAUUGGUUCCUCUAUUCACCCUACAUCUGUACCUGCACCUUCUGCUGAUGCUCAGCAAGCUGCACAAUCUGCU
Molecule: long non-coding RNA, 238 nt
Organism: Papaver somniferum (opium poppy)
Lineage: Eukaryota; Viridiplantae; Streptophyta; Magnoliopsida; Ranunculales; Papaveraceae
Exons: 3
Source: RefSeq, a predicted model, not a curated record